This 355-nucleotide long non-coding RNA is filed under the name Elaeis guineensis (African oil palm). Its description in RNAcentral is "long non-coding RNA (EGUI_LNC073676)". The record is from RNAcentral. Lineage: Eukaryota; Viridiplantae; Streptophyta; Magnoliopsida; Arecales; Arecaceae.
UAGAAGUUUGGAUGGAGUCUGGUUACUGUAGAAGUCUUGCUGCUGGAGAAGCCCGGACAUUGACGAAGUCCAGAAGAAGCUCGGAGUAAAGUCGAUCGUGAUAGGAGGAAGACUGGAAGAGAUUCGUAGAGUAGUCGAUCACUGUAGAAAAUCGGCUGAUAGUGAAGCCCAGAGAGCUUUUGGAGCAGUCCGAUGACGACUGAAGGAGCUCAUUAUUGGAGAAAUCUGGAGGGUACGAUAGGAGUUCGUCCAUUGGAGGAAUCUAGAGGACACUGUGGAAGGUCGACUGCUGGAGGAGUCCGGAUGGUACUGUGAAAGCUCGGACGGUCGGGGGAGUUCAGAAAGACACCGCAUA